This 468-nucleotide ribosomal RNA is filed under the name uncultured bacterium. RNAcentral's name for it is "partial 16S ribosomal RNA". It matches the Rfam family "Bacterial small subunit ribosomal RNA", at positions 28 to 507 of the family's 1533-position model. The record is from RNAcentral.
GAUGAACGCUGGCGGCGUGCUUAACACAUGCAAGUCGAACGGAAAGGCUCCUGCUUGCAGGGGUACUCGAGUGGCGAACGGGUGAGUAACACGUGGGUGAUCUGCCCUGUACUUCGGGAUAAGCUUGGGAAACUGGGUCUAAUACCGGAUAGGACAACUUUUUGGAUAUUGUUGUGGAAAGCUUUUGCGGUAUGGGAUGAGCUCGCGGCCUAUCAGCUUGUUGGUGGGGUAAUGGCCUACCAAGGCGUCGACGGGUAGCCGGCCUGAGAGGGUGUACGGCCACAUUGGGACUGAGAUACGGCCCAGACUCCUACGGGAGGCAGCAGUGGGGAAUAUUGCACAAUGGGCGCAAGCCUGAUGCAGCGACGCCGCGUGGGGGAUGAAGGCCUUCGGGUUGUAAACUCCUUUCGCUAGGGACGAAGCUUUUUUGUGACGGUACCUGGAGAAGAAGCACCGGCUAACUACGUG